CCAUUUGUUAGGCUGCAAUUUUGAAUAUUAGCUUUAAAAGAAGUCUUGACCUAUCAGCUCUUCUCGGUGUGAAAUGAAGACUUGGCUAUGGUGACUUCCAAGACUUGGAAAGGGAUAUGAACAAAGGCCUCCCAACAUAAUCCCAAGGAUUAGAAGCCAUGGACCGAAUAUGGGUCAUGGAGCAGUGCUGUCUUGUCCCUAGUUGUCAACACUUUCUCUCCCCUUCAACAGGAGAGAAGAGAAUGAGAGUAAAGGCAUUUUGCUCUUGCUUAAGACGAGACCCACAAGCACCUCUCCUUAGAGUAGACCACAGCAGUUAAACAAGUGUCGGGAUUGAGUCAAAACAGACUGAAAUUAUGUAUCAAGUUACAGAGGAAGCCACAACAGGCAGACGAAUGGGAG
Molecule: long non-coding RNA, 402 nt
Organism: Rhineura floridana
Lineage: Eukaryota; Metazoa; Chordata; Lepidosauria; Squamata; Rhineuridae
Exons: 3
Source: RefSeq, a predicted model, not a curated record